RNAcentral lists this ribosomal RNA (532 nucleotides) under Botrytis sp. 2 S28. RNAcentral's name for it is "eukaryotic LSU rRNA". The stretch from base 169 to 322 matches the Rfam family "5.8S ribosomal RNA". The record is from RNAcentral. Lineage: Eukaryota; Fungi; Ascomycota; Leotiomycetes; Helotiales; Sclerotiniaceae.
UUGUGACUGCGGAGGUCAUUACAGAGUUCAUGCCCGAAAGGGUAGACCUCCCACCCUUGUGUAUUAUUACUUUGUUGCUUUGGCGAGCUGCCUUCGGGCCUUGUAUGCUCGCCAGAGAAUACCAAAACUCUUUUUAUUAAUGUCGUCUGAGUACUAUAUAAUAGUUAAAACUUUCAACAACGGAUCUCUUGGUUCUGGCAUCGAUGAAGAACGCAGCGAAAUGCGAUAAGUAAUGUGAAUUGCAGAAUUCAGUGAAUCAUCGAAUCUUUGAACGCACAUUGCGCCCCUUGGUAUUCCGGGGGGCAUGCCUGUUCGAGCGUCAUUUCAACCCUCAAGCUUAGCUUGGUAUUGAGUCUAUGUCAGUAAUGGCAGGCUCUAAAAUCAGUGGCGGCGCCGCUGGGUCCUGAACGUAGUAAUAUCUCUCGUUACAGGUUCUCGGUGUGCUUCUGCCAAAACCCAAAUUUUUCUAUGGUUGACCUCGGAUCAGGUAGGGAUACCCGCUGAACUUAAGCAUAUCAAAAACCGGGAGGAA